GUGGGGAAUUUUGGACAAUGGGCGCAAGCCUGAUCCAGCAAUGCCGCGUGCAGGAAGAAGGCCUUCGGGUUGUAAACUGCUUUUGUACGGAACGAAACGGUCCUGGCUAAUAUCCGGGGCUAAUGACGGUACCGUAAGAAUAAGCACCGGCUAACUACGUGCCAGCAGCCGCGGUAAUACGUAGGGUGCGAGCGUUAUUCGGAAUUACUGGGCGUAAAGCGUGCGCAGGCGGUGCUGUAAGACAGGCGUGAAAUCCCCGGGCUCAACCUGGGAAUUGCGCUUGUGACUGCAGUGCUGGAGUGCGGCAGAGGGGGAUGGAAUUCCGCGUGUAGCAGUGAAAUGCGUAGAUAUGCGGAGGAACACCGAUGGCGAAGGCAAUCCCCUGGGCCUGCACUGACGCUCAUGCACGAAAGCGUGGGGAGCAAACAGGAUUAGAUACCCUUGUAGUCC
This 450-nucleotide ribosomal RNA is filed under the name uncultured bacterium. Its description in RNAcentral is "bacterial SSU rRNA". It matches the Rfam family "Bacterial small subunit ribosomal RNA", at positions 354 to 796 of the family's 1533-position model. The record is from RNAcentral.